RNAcentral lists this ribosomal RNA (216 nucleotides) under uncultured fungus. RNAcentral describes it as "partial small subunit ribosomal RNA". The stretch from base 48 to 216 matches the Rfam family "Eukaryotic small subunit ribosomal RNA", at positions 693 to 864 of the family's 1831-position model. Lineage: Eukaryota; Fungi. The record is from RNAcentral.
GGGUCUGUCCAUUGGUCGGGCUUCACGGUCCGUACUGGUGAGAUGGGUUCCUACCUUCUGAAUAACCAGCAUGCCAUUUAGUUGGUGCGUUGGGGAAGCAGAGCUAUUACCUUGAAAAAAUUAGAGUGUUCAAAGCAGGCAAAGCCUGAAUACAUUAGCAUGGAAUAAUAAAAUAGGACGUGUGGUUCUAUUUUGUUGGUUUCUAGAAUCGCCGUA